RNAcentral lists this ribosomal RNA (731 nucleotides) under Paenibacillus sp. L2129. RNAcentral describes it as "bacterial SSU rRNA". It matches the Rfam family "Bacterial small subunit ribosomal RNA", at positions 24 to 743 of the family's 1533-position model. Lineage: Bacteria; Bacillati; Bacillota; Bacilli; Caryophanales; Paenibacillaceae. The record is from RNAcentral.
UCAGGACGAACGCUGGCGGCGUGCCUAAUACAUGCAAGUCGAGCGGAGUUAUUCCUUCGGGGAUGACUUAGCGGCGGACGGGUGAGUAACACGUAGGCAACCUGCCUGGAAGACCGGGAUAACAUUCGGAAACGAAUGCUAAUACCGGAUACGCAGUUUCCCCGCAUGAGGGAACUGGGAAAGACGGCGCAAGCUGUCACUUGCAGAUGGGCCUGCGGUGCAUUAGCUAGUUGGUGGGGUAACGGCUCACCAAGGCGACGAUGCAUAGCCGACCUGAGAGGGUGAUCGGCCACACUGGGACUGAGACACGGCCCAGACUCCUACGGGAGGCAGCAGUAGGGAAUCUUCCGCAAUGGACGAAAGUCUGACGGAGCAACGCCGCGUGAGUGAUGAAGGUUUUCGGAUCGUAAAGCUCUGUUGCCAGGGAAGAACAGCCNGNNGAGUAACUGCGCUUGGAAUGACGGUACCUGAGAAGAAAGCCCCGGCUAACUACGUGCCAGCAGCCGCGGUAAUACGUAGGGGGCAAGCGUUGUCCGGAAUUAUUGGGCGUAAAGCGCGCGCAGGCGGCUUUGUAAGUUUGGUGUUUAAUCUCAGAGCUCAACUCUGAUUCGCAUCGAAAACUGCAAGGCUUGAGUACAGAAGAGGAAAGUGGAAUUCCACGUGUAGCGGUGAAAUGCGUAGAGAUGUGGAGGAACACCAGUGGCGAAGGCGACUUUCUGGGCUGUAACUGA